GGUGAACGCUGGCGGUGUGCCUAAUACAUGCAAGUCGAACGACAGCACAGUAAGAGUGUGCUCUUACGGGUGGCGGGGGGCGGGCGGGUGAGGAGUAGAUAGGAAUCUACUAUUUCGGGGGGGAUAACGGAGGAAAGGAGAUGCUAAUAGCUCAUAUGUUCUACGGCUGGAAGCAGUGGUUCUUGGCAGCUUUGGCGUUUGUUAUAGCCGGUGCCGGAUUAGCUAGUUGGGGAGGUAACGGCCCACCAAGGCAACGAUGCGUAGCUGGCCUGAGAGGAUGAUCAGCCACACUGGAACUGAGACACGGUCCAGACUCCUACGGGAGGCAGCAGUGGGGAAUAUUGCACAAUGGGCGAAAGCCUGAUGCAGCCAUACCGCGUGAGUGAAGAAGGCCUUCGGGUCGUAAAGCUCUUUUGUUGGGAAAGAAAAAAAGCGGAUGAAUCUACCCCCGUUCUGACGGUACCCAAAGAAAAAGCACCGGCUAACUUCGUG
Molecule: ribosomal RNA, 492 nt
Filed under: uncultured bacterium
Lineage: Bacteria
Description: partial 16S ribosomal RNA
Rfam family: Bacterial small subunit ribosomal RNA
Source: RNAcentral